RNAcentral lists this ribosomal RNA (164 nucleotides) under Trifolium calocephalum. RNAcentral describes it as "5.8S ribosomal RNA". It matches the Rfam family "5.8S ribosomal RNA". Rfam says of the family: 5.8S ribosomal RNA (5.8S rRNA) is a component of the large subunit of the eukaryotic ribosome. It is transcribed by RNA polymerase I as part of the 45S precursor that also contains 18S and 28S rRNA. The record is from RNAcentral. Lineage: Eukaryota; Viridiplantae; Streptophyta; Magnoliopsida; Fabales; Fabaceae.
UAUAGAAUGACUCUCGGCAACGGAUAUCUAGGCUCUUGCAUCGAUGAAGAACGUAGCGAAAUGCGAUACUUGGUGUGAAUUGCAGAAUCCCGUGAACCAUCGAGUCUUUGAACGCAAGUUGCGCCCGAUGCCAUUAGGUUGAGGGCACGUCUGCCUGGGCGUCA